This 494-nucleotide ribosomal RNA is filed under the name uncultured bacterium. RNAcentral describes it as "partial 16S ribosomal RNA". It matches the Rfam family "Bacterial small subunit ribosomal RNA", at positions 28 to 506 of the family's 1533-position model. The record is from RNAcentral.
GAUGAACGCUGGCGGCGUGCCUAAUACAUGCAAGUAGAACGCUGAAGGAGGAGCUUGCUCUUCUGGAUGAGUUGCGAACGGGUGAGUAACGCGUAGGUAACCUGCCUGGUAGCGGGGGAUAACUAUUGGAAACGAUAGCUAAUACCGCAUGACAACAGUUAUUGCAUGAUAACUGUUUAAAAGGGGCAACUGCUCCACUACCAGAUGGACCUGCGUUGUAUUAGCUAGUUGGUGAGGUAACGGCUCACCAAGGCGACGAUACAUAGCCGACCUGAGAGGGUGAUCGGCCACAGGGGGACUGAGACACGGCCCAGACUCCUACGGGAGGCAGCAGUAGGGAAUCUUCGGAAAGGGACGGAAGUCUGACCGAGCAACGCCGCGUGAGGGAAGAAGGUUUUCGGAUCGUAAAGCUCUGUUGUAAGGGAAGAACGGGUGGGAGGGGGGAAAGUUCCAACUGGGACGGGAUUUUACCAGAAAGGGACGGCAAAUUACGU